RNAcentral lists this small RNA (807 nucleotides) under Arabidopsis thaliana (thale cress). RNAcentral describes it as "ATSL033420". Lineage: Eukaryota; Viridiplantae; Streptophyta; Magnoliopsida; Brassicales; Brassicaceae. The record is from RNAcentral.
AUUUGAAUCCUGACCUAGGAUUGUUACUAGAAACCCACAAUCAUUAUAAUCUGGCUUGACUUAGUAGUUUUUGUACACAUCUUGAUUGCUAGCAAUACAGUGGACUAGAUUGACACCCACUAUAGCUGCAUCGACAUAUUUGUGUUUUAGGGGAAUUGAACUGAACUCACACAGCAUUCUGUAUAAGUAGGCAUAAAAAACCUGCUUAUCAUGAUGCUAGCAAUCAAGAUGCAAUCAGAGUUCACAGAGUCAAGCCAAGCAAUAACAGGUUUUAGAGUCUUCUAGCAAUCCUAAGUGAACAUGCAGGAAACAGAAAAUCAAGCAGAAACAAUAAAACACUCGACCAACACAACUCGUUGUAAAGCCCUAGGUGUGGUCGAGUAAUAGACAGAAAAUGUAACAGGGAUACUCGACUGUACAGUCUGUUGCCAGACAACUGGGUGGUCAAGUAACAGGUCGAGUAAGAAGAGAAAAAUGCAAAAACUACGCAACAGGUAACAAGAUGCAAUAAACAACAAAAGAGAAAACAAAGAAAUCAAUUAGAUAAAGAAUUCUCGAGGAUGAGGUAAUUGAGUAGUUUCGUUUUCUCAGUUUACAGGUGAUUGACAUGCUCAAUAAAUUAUCCCUAGACAACAAGUUCGAUAACCAAAUCUAAGUGCCAGCGCAACAAACCCUCAAGUUAAACCAGUCCAAGACUCAAUCACCAUUGACGAGAGCUAAUGAAUGGAAGAGGUUACUAGGUGCUCUAUAUGCAUUAAGGUCGUAGCUUAUACUCAAGUCCAUAUUCGAGAAUGCAUGAAAACCCUA